RNAcentral lists this ribosomal RNA (498 nucleotides) under uncultured bacterium. RNAcentral describes it as "partial 16S ribosomal RNA". It matches the Rfam family "Bacterial small subunit ribosomal RNA", at positions 28 to 507 of the family's 1533-position model. The record is from RNAcentral.
GACGAACGCUGGCGGCGUGCCUAAUACAUGCAAGUCGAGCGGACGGAUGGGAGCUUGCUCCCAGACCGUCAGCGGCGGACGGGUUAGUAACACGUGGGCAACCUGCCUGUAAGACUGGGAUAACUCCGGGAAACCGGGGCUAAUACCGGAUAACUCUUUCCCUCACAUGAGGGAAAGCUGAAAGAUGGCAUCUCGCUAUCACUUACAGAUGGGCCCGCGGCGCAUUAGCUAGUUGGUGAGGUAACGGCUCACCAAGGCGACGAUGCGUAGCCGACCUGAGAGGGUGAUCGGCCACACUGGGACUGAGACACGGCCCAGACUCCUACGGGAGGCAGCAGUAGGGAAUCUUCCGCAAUGGACGAAAGUCUGACGGAGCAACGCCGCGUGAGUGAUGAAGGUUUUCGGAUCGUAAAACUCUGUUGUCAGGGAAGAACAAGUACCGGAGUAACUGACGGUACCUUGACGGUACCUGAACAGAAAGCAACGGCUAACUACGUG